CGUGCACUCCGUGUUCGCUGCAGGGACGAUCAGGUGACCCCUUACUUGGUCCCUUUUAGGUCGAUUCGUCUUCGUGGGAAGCAACCCCUUCACCUUUCUGCUCUCCUCUCCCUCCCUACCUUCCCGAGGCCGCCGUUCCCAAGAUUAGUUCACGCCAUAGCUCGCUUCCCUGGAGCCCGCCGAUCGCUCGGAUCCUGGUCGCAGCUUGGAGAUCCGGACUGGCAUUUUUCCUGGUAGGGUGGUCAGUGGCGAGAAAAAAGGUUGUUUUUUGGCUGAGUCUCUGAGCUCCGGAGGCUUCCAUCUUGGAUGACGUCUCCCUAAAAGGCACAAUUGCAAUAGUUUGACCUGCCUGCCUUCGAUGCCUUUGCCGGCGGUGGGCUAAGAUAAGCUGGCAUACUGUCUCUGUCUGUUGAAAUUUCUCAACUAGGAGGGUGAUGGGGUCGUCCGGUUGCAGCUCUGAGAUAGUUGAGUCCAACGAAGACUUGGGUAAUGCGCCCGUUAGUGGCUCCAGCGUGCUGCAUAUCAAUGUGAAAACUGAGGAGAAAGAUGGAAGACGUCGUGGUCAUCCUGUGGAAGAUGAGCUCGACCAGCUUCUUAAGGCGAUUGAUAGCAGGACUUACUGUCGAGCACUUAGCCCCGGCCAGGCCGGGGCAGAUUCUUUGUUGAAGCAUGGUCAAAAGACACCUAGGUCAGGGCCAUCUCAAAUUGAAGUCCCUGGGAUAUGCUCCAAACCUGUCAAUAUGAAGCAGGCACUGAGAAGGCAUUGCAUUUCCCAGGCGUCAGAAAUGGCUGCAAUGAAGAGGUUGUCGAUGUCGCCUGGGUCAUCGAGUUCAUCUGAAGCAGGGACUAUCCACAGGCUUUAUGCCUCCUUGAUGGUUCAGAGCAGUGAUGGAAGCCUUGUGCAUGAUGAUAAAAAGAACUUGAUUGAGAUAUCAAUCACUCCAGAAAAGAUUAGUAAGAAUCUAUCUAGAGGAACAAGUGGCUUUAGUGAAGACUGUGAUUUUGAGACAGCUGAUGGAAGUGCAGUCACCUCCAUCCAUUCUGCAUCUUCUACCUCAAUUGAUAUACAAAAGGUCAGGAUCCAAGAUGUCAUCAGUGGUGACCCUGUAGAAAGUGAGAGCUCCAUUGUGCAAAAUGGAAAAACGCAUAAACAAGUUUCUGCGGCUACUGAUGAUAGUCCAUCCAGAAUCCCCAUAUUGAUCAAACCCAUCACAACAUCCCGGCUCGUGAAGCCAGUUUUUCGAUGCAAAACCAGCAGUAAGAGUAAAAUGAAAGAAGAACAACCUUCACUUGGUAAUUCUUCCAAUAGUACUAAAUUCUGCUCUUCAAAGGAAUCCAUUUCCCAUGUAUCAACCAGCUCCUCGUCGGUGUCCAGCAUUAGUAAUCCCACCAGCUGUGCAGAAGGGGAGAUAAAUCCAGGACCAGAAAAAUCUGAUGAGAGGUCGUCUGAAUGGCUAACAUUGGAAAGAGGUGAGUGCUCCCAGAAUUCGAAGAGCAGCAUUAGUGAGUAUGGAUGUAGCACUAGUAUCAGCGAUGAGAGCCAAUUUGGCUUAUGUGGCUAUAACAACAGGCCCCAUAUGGUGAAGGAUCUCUGUUGGAUAACCAUUCGCCAGUUGGCGUUGCAACAGGGACCCUUAGGACUCGACAACUUUAGGCUUCUGAAGAGGCUUGGAUGUGGGGAUAUCGGGACUGUGUAUCUUGCAGAAUUGGUUCAUUCAGAUUGCUUGUUUGCUUUGAAGGUUAUGGAUAUUGAGUACCUGAUUAGUAGGAGAAAGAUGCUACGAGCACAGGCUGAGAGAGAGAUACUAGAAAUGCUGGAUCAUCCUUUUCUUCCUACUCUUUAUGCCCAUUUUACGACAGACAAUCUCUCAUGCUUAGUCAUGGAGUACUGUCCGGGUGGUGAUUUGCACGUUCUUCGUCAAAGACAACCCGGUAGAAGCUUCCCAGAGCCAUCUGCGAGGUUUUAUGUUGCAGAAGUUCUCCUUGCGCUGGAAUAUCUUCACAUGCUGGGAGUCAUAUACCGUGAUCUUAAGCCAGAGAAUAUCCUCGUCCGCGAUGAUGGUCACAUCAUGCUAUCAGAUUUUGAUCUCUCGCUAAGGUGCUCUGUUAGCGCCGUGCUCCUCCGGUCAUCCUCGGUAGCAGCGAAUCACCAACCAAAGAAGCUUACAAGCCCUUGUGCAGAGAGCUACUGCAUCAACUCGUCGUGCCUCCAGCCCUCUUGUGCCCAAACGUCUUGUUUCAGGCCACGCCCCUGGGUACCGAAGCCUAGGAAGCCUAAAUCUUCCCUGAAGGGGCUGCCUCAACUUGUUGUAGAGCCUACAGAAGCACGCUCCAAUUCCUUUGUUGGCACACAUGAGUAUCUUGCACCAGAAAUCAUCAAAGGAGAUGGUCACGGGAGUGCUGUUGACUGGUGGACGUUUGGUGUGUUUCUUUAUGAACUUGUGUAUGGUAGGACACCCUUCAGAGGUCCUGGGAAUGAUGAAACAUUGGCAAAUGUUGUUUCCCAGAAUCUCCGGUUCCCGGAUAACCCGGUUGUCAGCAGCAAUGCAAAGGAUCUCAUCAGAGGAUUGCUAGUCAAGGAGCCGGAGAACAGGCUGGGAACGUUGAGAGGAGCAGCUGAAAUCAAGCAGCACCCUUUCUUUGAAGGGUUGAACUGGGCCUUGAUACGAUCUGCUGCCCCACCAGAGACACGGCCUUGCGAUGUCGUGACUCUUGCGACGGUGCGGAAGAAGAAAGAAGGCAAAUGUCUGGACUUCAGGAGCGCCGAGGAGCUGGAGUUUGAAGUUUUCUAGUGAGGUCUUGGUACAGUUUAGCACAAUUUCUGCCGAUAGUCUACAAUUUUUCUGUUGAGUAGCCGAAUACUUGGAGGAGCAUGCAGAUCCACUGUUUCUGCUAAGGGCAAGAGGGUGAUUACCUUUCCUCUCAAAUGGGCGCAAUAAUGCAUGCAAGCACUGAUGUUUCACCUACAAGACUCGGACUUCUGUGAAAGGAACUCUUACAAAGACAUCAUUUUUCUUACUCCAUAUACUCCCUCCGUUAAAUGUCUAAAACGCCUUACAAAAGUGAACAUAGGGAGUAGGUUUUUUCUAAGAAUGAAGUAGGGUUUCUUGGUGCAGUAAACUGAUUUUCCAAUGAAGAAGAAGCCACGAGAAUGAUCACAAAAACAAUCAAAUUAUCUGUACUCCCUGCAAUGUGUAUCUUUGUCUUGUUCCUCCCUAGGAUCCUAUUGUCCAAGGCAUCGCCCCUCCAUGGGGCCCUAUGAUCAAAUCAUUCAUAUGCUUGUGCGCCAACCACAUGUGGUGUUGGAUCCAGAAACAUGGAGAUGUAACAACUGGGGUUGGACAACUGAAAUCUUAAAUCAGUUCUGGAGUUUGCACGAUU
This is an RNA transcript of Triticum aestivum (bread wheat), 3381 nucleotides long. It is a transcript of the gene named serine/threonine-protein kinase D6PK, with no coding region annotated. The transcript has 4 exons. NCBI's taxonomy places the organism in Eukaryota, Viridiplantae, Streptophyta, Magnoliopsida, Poales, Poaceae. The record is from RefSeq and is a predicted model, not a curated record.